GAACAAUGACGAGUCUAUCCCGAACCUGCAUUGUGAUAACAAAACUAUAUGGAUCUGACUGCUGAGUU
This is a small nucleolar RNA of Rana temporaria (common frog), 68 nucleotides long. RefSeq annotates it as small nucleolar RNA SNORD50. The transcript has a single exon. The record is from RefSeq and is a predicted model, not a curated record. Lineage: Eukaryota; Metazoa; Chordata; Amphibia; Anura; Ranidae.